AUGAAGCCCUCGGAGUGUCCUCCUUGGAUUGAUCCUGGUGUUAGAGUUGUUGUUAAAUGUGCUUCAUAUGUAGCAAACUUAGAGUAUGGAUUGCUAUCAAUGUCAGAGCAAGAGCAUGAUUGGUGGGUUGAUAAAUGCAAAGGUUAUAGUUUAGAUAAAUUCUGUGAUGAUAUGACUAGCAAG
This 183-nucleotide long non-coding RNA is filed under the name Oryza sativa aus subgroup. RNAcentral describes it as "lncRNA OsNaBo_09g0016080". The record is from RNAcentral. Lineage: Eukaryota; Viridiplantae; Streptophyta; Magnoliopsida; Poales; Poaceae.